Non-coding RNA from Macaca mulatta (Rhesus monkey), 60 nucleotides. Lineage: Eukaryota; Metazoa; Chordata; Mammalia; Primates; Cercopithecidae. The record is from Rfam.
GGGAAACGGGAACUGGGCUUGGGACAAGAGCCAUCCCAAGUCCAAGGCCAAGUAGGCUCG